RNAcentral lists this ribosomal RNA (264 nucleotides) under uncultured bacterium. Its description in RNAcentral is "partial 16S ribosomal RNA". It matches the Rfam family "Bacterial small subunit ribosomal RNA", at positions 90 to 354 of the family's 1533-position model. The record is from RNAcentral.
UUCGAGUGGCGGACGGGUGAGUAACGCGUGGGUAACCUGCCGUUACACAGGGGAUAACACCUGGAAACAGGUGCUAAUACCGCAUAAGCGCACAGGGCCGCAUGGCCCGGUGUGAAAAACUCCGGUGGUGUAAGAUGGACCCGCGUCUGAUUAGCUUGUUGGCGGGGUAGGGGCCCACCAAGGCGACGAUCAGUAGCCGGCCUGAGAGGGUGGACGGCCACAUUGGGACUGAGACACGGCCCAAACUCCUACGGGAGGCAGCAG